UUUAUAUAGCGAUAAAAUGUCCGUCUAGAUUCUUAUGAGUUUUUUGAUGUUUC
Molecule: small RNA, 53 nt
Filed under: Arabidopsis thaliana (thale cress)
Lineage: Eukaryota; Viridiplantae; Streptophyta; Magnoliopsida; Brassicales; Brassicaceae
Description: ATSL083260
Source: RNAcentral